CUCAACGGGCGGGCCUUGGCGGGGGAGCCUCACGGCUCGCCGGUUUUUGGUACUGCGCUCCGGUCUGUUAACCCCGUCACUGUGCCCGCUCACCACC
This 97-nucleotide non-coding RNA is filed under the name Paraburkholderia sp. BL17N1. Lineage: Bacteria; Pseudomonadati; Pseudomonadota; Betaproteobacteria; Burkholderiales; Burkholderiaceae. The record is from RNAcentral. RNAcentral also lists the same sequence under 3 other names.